Molecule: small nuclear RNA, 193 nt
Organism: Diachasmimorpha longicaudata
Lineage: Eukaryota; Metazoa; Arthropoda; Insecta; Hymenoptera; Braconidae
Product: U2 spliceosomal RNA
Exons: 1
Source: RefSeq, a predicted model, not a curated record
AUCGCUUCUCGGCUCAUUGAGCUAAGAUCAAAGUGUAGUAUCUGUUCUUAUCAGCUUAAUAUCUGAUACGCACUCCAUUGGAGUGCCAGAAUAUUAAACUGAUUUUUGGAAAUAGGUGGAUGCACGGAGCUUGCUCCGUUUCUACCGCAGGUUGACCCGGCAUUGCAGUACCGCCGGGACUGGCCUACUAAAC